CCAGCACCUGCGGUAAUUCCAGCUCCAAUAGCGUAUAUUAAAGUUGUUGCAGUUAACAAGCUCGUAGUUGAAUUUCUGGUAGGGUGCCAAUGUCCGCCGCCGUGACUGCGCAGCGGCGCCCUUCCAUCCUUCUGUCAACGCUUCUUGGCAUUCGUUUGCUGGUAGCGGGCUCAGAUAUUUUACCUUGAGAAAAUUAGAGUGUUUCAGGCAGGCUAGGCCGGAAUACAUUAGCAUGGAAUAAUGGAAUAGGACUACGGUCUCUUUGUUGGUUUGAGGUACUGCAGUAAUGAUUAAUAGGGAUAGUUGGGGGCAUUAGUAUUUAAUUGUCAGAGGUGAAAUUCUCGGAUUUGUUAAAGACUAACGUAUGCGAAAGCAUUUGCCAACGAUGUUUUCAUCAAUCAAGAACGAAAGU
This 412-nucleotide ribosomal RNA is filed under the name uncultured eukaryote. RNAcentral's name for it is "SSU rRNA". It matches the Rfam family "Eukaryotic small subunit ribosomal RNA", at positions 567 to 990 of the family's 1831-position model. The record is from RNAcentral.